AAACUUUCAACAACGGAUCUCUUGGCUCUGGCAUCGAUGAAGAACGCAGCGAAACGCGAUAAGUAAUGUGAAUUGCAGAAUUUAGUGAAUCAUCGAAUCUUUGAACGCACAUUGCGCCCGCCAGUAUUCUGGCGGGCAUGCCUGUCCGAGCGUCAUUAC
Molecule: ribosomal RNA, 159 nt
Filed under: Fusarium tucumaniae
Lineage: Eukaryota; Fungi; Ascomycota; Sordariomycetes; Hypocreales; Nectriaceae
Also listed under: 1 other name
Description: 5.8S ribosomal RNA
Rfam family: 5.8S ribosomal RNA
About the family: 5.8S ribosomal RNA (5.8S rRNA) is a component of the large subunit of the eukaryotic ribosome. It is transcribed by RNA polymerase I as part of the 45S precursor that also contains 18S and 28S rRNA. Functionally, it is thought that 5.8S rRNA may be involved in ribosome translocation.
Source: RNAcentral